AGAGUUUGAUCCUGGCUCAGAUUGAACGCUGGCGGCAUGCUUUACACAUGCAAGUCGAACGGCAGCACGGGUGCUUGCACCUGGUGGCGAGUGGCGAACGGGUGAGUAAUGCACCGGAACGUACCCAGUAAUGGGGGAUAACACAUCGAAAGAUGUGCUAAUACCGCAUACGCCCUGAGGGGGAAAGCGGGGGAUCGUAAGACCUCGCGUUAUUGGAGCGGCCGAUGCCGGAUUAGCUAGUUGGUUAGGUAAGAGCUCACCAAGGCGACGAUCCGUAGCUGGUCUGAGAGGACGACCAGCCACACUGAGACUGAGACACGGCCCAGACUCCUACGGGAGGCAGCAGUGGGGAAUUUUGGACAAUGGGCGCAA
This 372-nucleotide ribosomal RNA is filed under the name uncultured bacterium. RNAcentral describes it as "bacterial SSU rRNA". It matches the Rfam family "Bacterial small subunit ribosomal RNA", at positions 8 to 380 of the family's 1533-position model. The record is from RNAcentral.